RNAcentral lists this ribosomal RNA (274 nucleotides) under uncultured bacterium. RNAcentral describes it as "partial 16S ribosomal RNA". It matches the Rfam family "Bacterial small subunit ribosomal RNA", at positions 523 to 796 of the family's 1533-position model. The record is from RNAcentral.
AUACGGAGGGUGCGAGCGUUGUUCGGAAUUAUUGGGCGUAAAGAGCAUGUAGGCGGUCUGUUAAGUCUGGUGUGAAAGCCCGGGGCUCAACCCCGGAAGUGCAUUGGAUACUGGCAGACUUGAGUAUGGGAGAGGAAAGCGGAAUUCCGAGUGUAGGAGUGAAAUCCGUAGAUAUUCGGAGGAACACCAGUGGCGAAGGCGGCUUUCUGGACCAAUACUGACGCUGAGAUGCGAAAGCGUGGGGAGCAAACAGGAUUAGAUACCCGGGUAGUCC